This 526-nucleotide ribosomal RNA is filed under the name uncultured Gammaproteobacteria bacterium. Its description in RNAcentral is "bacterial SSU rRNA". It matches the Rfam family "Bacterial small subunit ribosomal RNA", at positions 11 to 531 of the family's 1533-position model. The record is from RNAcentral. Lineage: Bacteria; Pseudomonadati; Pseudomonadota; Gammaproteobacteria.
GUUUGAUCCUGGCUCAGAUUGAACGCUGGCGGCAGGCUUAACACAUGCAAGUCGAGCGGAAACGAAAGUAGCUUGCUACUAGGCGUCGAGCGGCGGACGGGUGAGUAAUGCUUAGGAAUCUACCGAGUAGUGGGGGAUAGCCAUUGGAAACGAUGAUUAAUACCGCAUAUAUCCUACGGGGGAAAGCAGGGGACCUUCGGGCCUUGCGCUAUUCGAUGAGCCUGAGUGAGAUUAGCUAGUUGGUGGGGUAAAGGCCUACCAAGGCGACGAUCUCUAGCUGGUCUGAGAGGAUGAUCAGCCACACUGGGACUGAGACACGGCCCAGACUCCUACGGGAGGCAGCAGUGGGGAAUAUUGCACAAUGGGCGAAAGCCUGAUGCAGCCAUGCCGCGUGUGUGAAGAAGGCCUUCGGGUUGUAAAGCACUUUCAGCGAGGAGGAAAGGUUAGUAGUUAAUAACUGCUAGCUGUGACGUUACUCGCAGAAGAAGCACCGGCUAAUUUAGUGCCAGCAGCCGCGGUAAUAAGG